CGGGAAGUGGCGCAGCCUGGUAGCGCACACGCUUGGGGUGCGUGGGGUCGGCGGUUCAAAUCCGCUCUUCCCGACCA
This 77-nucleotide transfer RNA is filed under the name bacterium. Its description in RNAcentral is "tRNA-Pro". It matches the Rfam family "tRNA". Rfam says of the family: Transfer RNA (tRNA) molecules are approximately 80 nucleotides in length. The record is from RNAcentral.